UGUCUGGUCGAGUGCGUACACGCAUAGAUAGAGGAACAGGAGAGAUAGUGGCUUACAGUGAUGCUGCUGUUCGGAACAAUAUGGCAGUCAUUGAGUACUGUAGAACAUCCAUGGCAGCUUUGUCUGGGGCUACAGCAGGGUCUUCAUUCUACAGACUUUCAGAAUCCUGCUUGGUGGUAUAAUUAGUAAAUAAAUGUUUUAUACAA
This is a long non-coding RNA of Macrobrachium nipponense, 206 nucleotides long. RefSeq lists it as uncharacterized. The transcript has 2 exons. NCBI's taxonomy places the organism in Eukaryota, Metazoa, Arthropoda, Malacostraca, Decapoda, Palaemonidae. The record is from RefSeq and is a predicted model, not a curated record.